Non-coding RNA from Ictidomys tridecemlineatus (thirteen-lined ground squirrel), 1507 nucleotides. The record is from RefSeq and is a predicted model, not a curated record. Lineage: Eukaryota; Metazoa; Chordata; Mammalia; Rodentia; Sciuridae.
GGGGGCGGGGCCUGCGGGCCGGCGGGCUGAGGCGGAGGCCCCUCCUCCCCGCCGGACCCCGCCAGCUCGGGCGCCCGCGGCGGCGCGGCCAUGAAGCUGAAGCUGAAGAACGUGUUUCUCGCCUACUUCCUGGUGUCGAUCGCCGGCCUCCUCUACGCGCUGGUGCAGCUCGGCCAGCCAUGUGAUUGUCUCCCUCCCCUGCGGGCAGCUGCUGAGCAGCUUCGGCAGAAGGAUCUGAGGAUUUCCGAGCUGCAAGCUGAUCUCCGUCGCCCACCCCCAGCCCCUGCCCAGCCCCCUGAACCUGAGGCCCUGCCUACUAUCUAUGUCAUUACCCCCACCUACGCCAGGCUGGUGCAGAAGGCAGAACUGGUGAGGCUGUCCCAGACCCUGAGCCUGGUUCCCCGGCUGCACUGGUUGUUGGUGGAGGACUCCGAUGGCCCUACCCCACUGGUUUCGGGGCUGCUGUCUGCCUCUGGCCUCCUCUUCACACACCUGGCUGUCCUUACCCCCAAGGCCCAGCGGCUUCGGGAAGGCGAGCCAGGCUGGGUUCGCCCCCGUGGUGUAGAGCAGCGGAACAAGGCCCUGGAGUGGCUUCGGGGCAGAGGGGGCGCCGUGGGGGGGGAGAAGGACCCACCGCCACCGGGGACCCAGGGAGUCGUGUACUUUGCUGAUGAUGACAACACCUAUAGCCGGGAGCUCUUUGAGGAGACCUCUGUUAGAUGCGCUGGACUCGUGGUGUCUCAGUGUGGCCCGUGGGGCUGGUGGGCGGUCUGCGAUUCGAGGGCCCUCGGGUACAGGACGGCCGGGUUGUGGGCUUCCACACAGCAUGGGAGCCCAACAGGCCCUUCCCCGUGGAUAUGGCGGGAUUUGCUGUUGCUCUGCCCUUGCUGUUGGCUAAGCCCAGUGCCCAGUUUGAUGCUACUGCUCCCCGAGGACACCUGGAGAGCAGUCUUCUGAGCCAUCUAGUGGAUCCCAAGGACUUAGAGCCACGGGCUGCCAAUUGCACUCGGGUACUGGUGUGGCAUACACGGACAGAGAAACCCAAGAUGAAGCAGGAGGAACAGCUACAGCGGCAGGGCCGGGGCUCAGACCCUGCCAUUGAGGUGUGAUGGCAGCCCCACCCUGACUUCCACCUUAUUUUAGGCACAGACCUUGUGGGACUGGGCACAUGGCCUGCCCAGGAUGUGGUUUUCCAAAUCCUGACCCCUGAGAGCCAGAGGCAGCCCCUCCAGCCCUAGGGCAUGGCCCAGCUGCUCCUCCCCUCCUUCAGCCUGCCAUGUGGCACUGCCCACAAGGCUGGGGACAAGCAGCCCUUGUGUUGAGCCAGGUCAGCCCUGUCUGGGGUGGAGCAAAAGGACAGAUGGACUUGGGAGGGAGGGUGGCUAAGGAACUGGGUAACUUAUUGGGGCUGGGUAUGCACUCGGGGGCUGAAGGAGCUGGGCUGGACCCUCCCCACUUGAGCAUGCGGACCCCCCUCCUACCUCCAGAAUAAAGAAUCUCAACCUGG